ACCGUUCUUCGGUCAAGGGUAUACGAGUAGCUGCGCUCCCCUGCUAGAACCUCCAAACAAGCUCUCCAGGUCCAACUCUGAAGAUGAGAAUUUUUUC
This 97-nucleotide small RNA is filed under the name Neogale vison (American mink). Its description in RNAcentral is "Neovison vison (American mink) 7SK RNA (ENSNVIG00000001089.1)". It matches the Rfam family "7SK RNA", at positions 172 to 273 of the family's 331-position model. Rfam says of the family: 7SK was discovered as an abundant small nuclear RNA in the mid-70s but a possible function has only recently been suggested. Two independent studies have found that 7SK RNA binds the CDK9/cyclin T complex (known as elongation factor P-TEFb). The record is from RNAcentral. Lineage: Eukaryota; Metazoa; Chordata; Mammalia; Carnivora; Mustelidae.